This 1060-nucleotide ribosomal RNA is filed under the name uncultured Aeromonas sp. RNAcentral's name for it is "bacterial SSU rRNA". It matches the Rfam family "Bacterial small subunit ribosomal RNA", at positions 94 to 1162 of the family's 1533-position model. Lineage: Bacteria; Pseudomonadati; Pseudomonadota; Gammaproteobacteria; Aeromonadales; Aeromonadaceae. The record is from RNAcentral.
AGCGGCGCACGGGUGCGGAACACGUGUGCAACCUACCUUUAUCAGGGGGAUAGCCUUUCGAAAGGAAGAUUAAUACCCCAUAAUAUAUUGAAUGGCAUCAUUCGAUAUUGAAAACUCCGGUGGAUAGAGAUGGGCACGCGCAAGAUUAGAUAGUUGGUGAGGUAACGGCUCACCAAGUCAAUGAUCUUUAGGGGGCCUGAGAGGGUGAUCCCCCACACUGGUACUGAGACACGGACCAGACUCCUACGGGAGGCAGCAGUGAGGAAUAUUGGACAAUGGGUGAGAGCCUGAUCCAGCCAUCCCGCGUGAAGGACGACGGCCCUAUGGGUUGUAAACUUCUUUUGUAUAGGGAUAAACCUUUCCACGUGUGGAAAGCUGAAGGUACUAUACGAAUAAGCACCGGCUAACUCCGUGCCAGCAGCCGCGGUAAUACGGAGGGUGCAAGCGUUAUCCGGAUUUAUUGGGUUUAAAGGGUCCGUAGGCGGACUCGUAAGUCAGUGGUGAAAUCUCAUAGCUUAACUAUGAAACUGCCAUUGAUACUGCGGGUCUUGAGUAAGGUAGAGGUAGCUGGAAUAAGUAGUGUAGCGGUGAAAUGCAUAGAUAUUACUUAGAACACCAAUUGCGAAGGCAGGUUACCAUGUCUUAACUGACGCUGAUGGACGAAAGCGUGGGGAGCGAACAGGAUUAGAUACCCUGGUAGUCCACGCCGUAAACGAUGCUAACUCGUUUUUGGGUCUUCGGAUUCAGAGACUAAGCGAAAGUGAUAAGUUAGCCACCUGGGGAGUACGAACGCAAGUUUGAAACUCAAAGGAAUUGACGGGGGCCCGCACAAGCGGUGGAUUAUGUGGUUUAAUUCGAUGAUACGCGAGGAACCUUACCAAGGCUUAAAUGGGAAUUGAUCGGUUUAGAAAUAGACCUUCCUUCGGGCAAUUUUCAAGGUGCUGCAUGGUUGUCGUCAGCUCGUGCCGUGAGGUGUUAGGUUAAGUCCUGCAACGAGCGCAACCCCUGUCACUAGUUGCUAACAUUCAGUUGAGGACUCUAGUGAGACUGCCUACGCAAG